CGACGCCAUAUUGCUGCUGCUGUGGUUCAAAAAAGGACUAACUACUCCUAUUUACAGGUACGACGACCGUUCAGGUUCAAGCCGACGCACUUCUCACUGGUCGGCUGAAGAUGCGCUGGGAGCGAGAGCCUCUUUAGAGGUACUGAGCCUGCCUGCUCAGUUAGUUGUGAAGUCUUUACGAGAAGACGAUGCUGGGCUCUACCACUGCAGGGUAGACUUCAGAAAACAGCCCACGAAAACUACACGAGUUGUGCUCAGUGUUGUCGUGCCCCCGACGAGCGUUGUCGUGUACGAAGGCUCGUCACUGCC
This is a long non-coding RNA of Hyalella azteca, 309 nucleotides long. RefSeq lists it as uncharacterized. The transcript is spliced from 3 exons. The record is from RefSeq and is a predicted model, not a curated record. NCBI's taxonomy places the organism in Eukaryota, Metazoa, Arthropoda, Malacostraca, Amphipoda, Hyalellidae.